ACGAACGCUGGCGGCGUGCUUAACACAUGCAAGUCGAACGGUGAUGGUGGGAGCUUGCUCCUACCGGAUCAGUGGCGAACGGGUGAGUAACACGUGAGUAACCUGCCCCAGACUCUGGAAUAACCCCGGGAAACCGGAGCUAAUACCGGAUACGAGACGAAGCUGCAUGGCUAUCGUCUGGAAAGUUUUUCGGUCUGGGAUGGACUCGCGGCCUAUCAGCUUGUUGGUGAGGUAACGGCUCACCAAGGCGACGACGGGUAGCCGGCCUGAGAGGGCGACCGGCCACACUGGGACUGAGACACGGCCCAGACUCCUACGGGAGGCAGCAGUGGGGAAUAUUGCACAAUGGGCGAAAGCCUGAUGCAGCGACGCCGCGUGAGGGAUGACGGCCUUCGGGUUGUAAACCUCUUUCAGCAGGGAAGAAGCGAAAGUGACGGUACCUGCAGAAGAAGCACCGGCUAACUACGU
This 468-nucleotide ribosomal RNA is filed under the name uncultured bacterium. RNAcentral's name for it is "bacterial SSU rRNA". It matches the Rfam family "Bacterial small subunit ribosomal RNA", at positions 29 to 506 of the family's 1533-position model. The record is from RNAcentral.